Molecule: long non-coding RNA, 803 nt
Organism: Sander lucioperca (pikeperch)
Lineage: Eukaryota; Metazoa; Chordata; Actinopteri; Perciformes; Percidae
Exons: 2
Source: RefSeq, a predicted model, not a curated record
AAUCUGAAUACCUAACCUGCUACCGGACGUAAACAUGAUUUAUGUGGAAUUUAAAAGCAGUCCUACCCAUCUAUCAAUUCCUGUAAACCCGAAGCCAAUUUCCGUAAAUCCCAAACAUUUUCAGUUUCCUUCUGACUGGCAGAUGGGAUGUUAUUCACACGGAAUUCCCCUGUUUGGAAAACAAAGCCCUCAACGUUCAGUAAAUCAGCCAGUCACUCGGCGGAGAAGGCAAGGGGACAGAUGCACGUGCAGCCAGCUCCCGUGUUGGAGCCUGCAGUAAUUAAAGACAUCCAUCAGAUUAUGACAGUGGUGUCUGGAAGCAUUGCACUGUGGGACCCAUAAUGUGACCAGGGUAACCAUGACAACUGCAAUCAAACGCAGCGAUGAUGUUCCACAUGAAGAUUCCUCUCGUUUCCUGGUGCGUUAUGACUCACUUACGAACUAUGUGUGCGCUGUACUGAGACACAGAACAUCAGAGGUGUUCAAAUCGUUACAUUUCCUUCACUUUGAUUGUCGUUUGUUAUGGUCUGAAUGCUGCUGAUGCAAACUUUCCCUCUGUUUCACCUGUUACUUUCCAUUGUUUUGUAUUCUACUGUAAUGUUGAGGAUUCAUAUCAAAUCAUUACUGUUUGUAAUGGCCACCAUUGACUUCAAGAUGGGUGAGGUUUGCAAUGUUCUGACAGGAAUGUAGUCAAGUGUUUCUAACUCAAGUACAUUGUGCAUGCUGUACUGUGCAUUGUCUAUCUAGAGACACUGUGCAUGACACCUACUGCACAUAGGAUAGUAUUAAAACACUGGAAUGUA